GAUGAACGCUGGCGGCGUGCCUAAUACAUGCAAGUCGAGCGAACAGAUAAGGAGCUUGCUCCUUUGACGUUAGCGGCGGACGGGUGAGUAACACGUGGGUAACCUACCUAUAAGACUGGGAUAACUUCGGGAAACCGGAGCUAAUACCGGAUAACAUUUGGAACCGCAUGGUUCUAAAGUGAAAGAUGGUUUUGCUAUCACUUAUAGAUGGACCCGCGCCGUAUUAGCUAGUUGGUAAGGUAGCGGCUUACCAAGGCGACGAUACGUAGCCGACCUGAGAGGGUGAUCGGCCACACUGGAACUGAGACACGGUCCAGACUCCUACGGGAGGCAGCAGUAGGGAAUCUUCCGCAAUGGGCGAAAGCCUGACGGAGCAACGCCGCGUGAGUGAUGAAGGGUUUCGGCUCGUAAAACUCUGUUAUUAGGGAGGAACAAAUGUGUAAGUAACUGUGCACGUCUUGACGGUACCUAAUCAGAAAGCCACGGCUAACUACGUG
Molecule: ribosomal RNA, 497 nt
Filed under: uncultured bacterium
Lineage: Bacteria
Description: partial 16S ribosomal RNA
Rfam family: Bacterial small subunit ribosomal RNA
Source: RNAcentral